RNAcentral lists this ribosomal RNA (685 nucleotides) under uncultured bacterium. RNAcentral's name for it is "bacterial SSU rRNA". It matches the Rfam family "Bacterial small subunit ribosomal RNA", at positions 97 to 796 of the family's 1533-position model. The record is from RNAcentral.
GGCGAACGGGUGAGUAACACGUGAGUAACCUGCCCUUAACUCUGGGAUAAGCCUGGGAAACUGGGUCUAAUACCGGAUACGACUCCUCAUCGCAUGGUGGGGGGUGGAAAGCUUUUGUGGUUUUGGAUGGACUCGCGGCCUAUCAGCUUGUUGGUGAGGUAAUGGCUCACCAAGGCGGCGACGGGUAGCCGGCCUGAGAGGGUGACCGGCCACACUGGGACUGAGACACGGCCCAGACUCCUACGGGAGGCAGCAGUGGGGAAUAUUGCACAAUGGGCGCAAGCCUGAUGCAGCGACGCCGCGUGAGGGAUGACGGCCUUCGGGUUGUAAACCUCUUUCAGUAGGGAAGAAGCGAAAGUGACGGUACCUGCAGAAGAAGCGCCGGCUAACUACGUGCCAGCAGCCGCGGUAAUACGUAGGGCGCAAGCGUUAUCCGGAAUUAUUGGGCGUAAAGAGCUCGUAGGCGGUUUGUCGCGUCUGCCGUGAAAGUCCGGGGCUCAACUCCGGAUCUGCGGUGGGUACAGGCAGACUAGAGUGAUGUAGGGGAGACUGGAAUUCCUGGUGUAGCGGUGAAAUGCGCAGAUAUCAGGAGGAACACCGAUGGCGAAGGCAGGUCUCUGGGCAUUAACUGACGCUGAGGAGCGAAAGCAUGGGGAGCGAACAGGAUUAGAUACCCUGGUAGUCC